This 72-nucleotide transfer RNA is filed under the name Colletotrichum higginsianum. RNAcentral describes it as "tRNA-Asp". It matches the Rfam family "tRNA". Rfam says of the family: Transfer RNA (tRNA) molecules are approximately 80 nucleotides in length. Their secondary structure includes four short double-helical elements and three loops (D, anti-codon, and T loops). The record is from RNAcentral. Lineage: Eukaryota; Fungi; Ascomycota; Sordariomycetes; Glomerellales; Glomerellaceae.
GAACUAAUAGCUUAAUUGUAAAGACUUUUCCUGUCACGAAAAGGGAUGUCGGUUCGAUGCCGACUUAGUUCG